Molecule: ribosomal RNA, 478 nt
Filed under: uncultured bacterium
Lineage: Bacteria
Description: partial 16S ribosomal RNA
Rfam family: Bacterial small subunit ribosomal RNA
Source: RNAcentral
GAUGAACGCUGGCGGCGUGCUUAACACAUGCAAGUCGAACGGGAAUUAUUUUAUUGAAACUUCGGUCGAUUUCAUUUAAUUCUAGUGGCGGACGGGUGAGUAACGCGUGGGUAACCUGCCUUAUACAGGGGGAUAACAGUCAGAAAUGGCUGCUAAUACCGCAUAAGCGCACAGAGCUGCAUGGCUCAGUGUGAAAAACUCCGGUGGUAUAAGAUGGACCCGCGUUGGAUUAGCUUGUUGGCAGGGUAACGGCCUACCAAGGCGACGAUCCAUAGCCGGCCUGGGAGGGUGAACGGCCACAUUGGGACUGAGACACGGCCCAGACUCCUACGGGAGGCAGCAGUGGGGAAUAUUGCACAAUGGGGGAAACCCUGAUGCAGCGACGCCGCGUGAAGGAAGAAGUAUCUCGGUAUGUAAACUUCUAUCAGCAGGGAAGAUAGUGACGGUACCUGACUAAGAAGCCCCGGCUAACUACGUG